UACGUAGGGGGCAAGCGUUGUCCGGAUUUAUUGGGCGUAAAGAGCGUGUAGGCGGCCAGGUAGGUCCGCUGUGAAAACUCGAGGCUCAACCUCGAGAUGUCGGCGGAAACCAUCUGGCUAGAGUCCGGGAGAGGAGAGUGGAAUUCCUGGUGUAGCGGUGAAAUGCGCAGAUAUCAGGAAGAACACCCGUGGCGAAAGCGGCUCUCUGGAACGGUACUGACGCUGAGACGCGAAAGCGUGGGGAGCGAACAGG
Molecule: ribosomal RNA, 253 nt
Filed under: uncultured bacterium
Lineage: Bacteria
Description: partial 16S ribosomal RNA
Rfam family: Bacterial small subunit ribosomal RNA
Source: RNAcentral